This 434-nucleotide ribosomal RNA is filed under the name uncultured Lachnospiraceae bacterium. RNAcentral's name for it is "bacterial SSU rRNA". It matches the Rfam family "Bacterial small subunit ribosomal RNA", at positions 341 to 792 of the family's 1533-position model. The record is from RNAcentral. Lineage: Bacteria; Bacillati; Bacillota; Clostridia; Lachnospirales; Lachnospiraceae.
ACGGGAGGCAGCAGUGGGGAAUAUUGCACAAUGGGGGAAACCCUGAUGCAGCGACGCCGCGUGAGUGAAGAAGUAAUUCGUUAUGUAAAGCUCUAUCAGCAGGGAAGAAAAUGACGGUACCUGACUAAGAAGCCCCGGCUAACUACGUGCCAGCAGCCGCGGUAAUACGUAGGGGGCAAGCGUUAUCCGGAUUUACUGGGUGUAAAGGGAGCGUAGACGGCCGUGCAAGUCUGAUGUGAAAGGCUGGGGCUCAACCCCGGGACUGCAUUGGAAACUGUAUGGCUGGAGUGCCGGAGAGGUAAGUGGAAUUCCUAGUGUAGCGGUGAAAUGCGUAGAUAUUAGGAGGAACACCAGUGGCGAAGGCGGCUUACUGGACUGUAACUGACACUGAGGCUCGAAGGCGUGGGGAGCAAACAGGAUUAGAUACCCUGGUA